This 378-nucleotide unclassified non-coding RNA is filed under the name Hevea brasiliensis (rubber tree). Lineage: Eukaryota; Viridiplantae; Streptophyta; Magnoliopsida; Malpighiales; Euphorbiaceae. The record is from RNAcentral.
AAAAUUUUCUAUUUAUUUAAAACAACUCACACAUUUCAAAUUCAAGACAAGAAGAAGAUUAUUUCUCAACCCACUAUACAACAAUAGCAAUUAGUACAGAAACAAGAUGAAAUUAAAUAUUUACAUAUUGCAAAAUAAAUAAAUAAAAACAUAUCAGCUGCAAAAAUAGAUGUCUUUAGUUACAGACAUCUACACAAUGCCCCCAACGAAUAUGUAAGAGAGCCUUGUGACCAAAAUCCUAUUUUCUAAACAUACAAAAUCCAAGGUGUCCUUGAUCACAAUUAAGUUAACAAACCUCCGAGUUAGAAAGAACUCGGUUUUUAUUAUGCAAGGAUGGCUGUUUUAAAAAGAAGCCAGCAUUGAUGUCAUCUUCUGGAA